RNAcentral lists this transfer RNA (71 nucleotides) under Parcubacteria group bacterium 21-58-10. RNAcentral describes it as "tRNA-Gln". It matches the Rfam family "tRNA". Rfam says of the family: Transfer RNA (tRNA) molecules are approximately 80 nucleotides in length. Their secondary structure includes four short double-helical elements and three loops (D, anti-codon, and T loops). The record is from RNAcentral.
UGCGGGAUCAUCUAGCGGUAGGAUGCGACACUCUGAAUGUCGUCACCGGGGUUCGAAUCCCUGUCCCGCAG